Molecule: ribosomal RNA, 450 nt
Filed under: uncultured bacterium
Lineage: Bacteria
Description: bacterial SSU rRNA
Rfam family: Bacterial small subunit ribosomal RNA
Source: RNAcentral
GAUGAAGAUCUAGUGGCGAACGGGUGCGUAACACGUGAGCAACCUACCCCGAAGACCGGGAUAACACCGGGAAACCGAUGCUAAUACCGGAUGUCCCCAUGAGCCCGCAUGAGCACAUGAGGAAAGGAACCCGCUUUGGGUGGGGCUCGCGGCCUAUCAGCUUGUAGGUGCGGUAACGGCCCACCAAGGCGACGACGGGUAGCUGGUCUGAGAGGACGAUCAGCCACACUGGGACUGAGACACGGCCCACACUCCUAACGGGGGCAGCAGUAGGGAAUCUUGCGCAAUGGGCGAAAGCCUGACGCAACAACGCCGUGUGGGGGAAUAAAGCCCUUCGGUUGUAAACUCCCUUUCAGCGGGGACCGAAAAUGACGGGUACCCGGAGAAAAAGGCCCCGCCCAACUACGUGCCCACCAGCCGCCGGAAUCCCUAGUUGAAUUCCCCGGCCGG